AGGAUGAACGCUGGCAGCGUGCCUAACACAUGCAAGUCGAACGGUUAAGGCGGCUUCGGCCGCGUAUAAAGUGGCGAACGGGUGAGUAACGCGUGACCGACCUUCCCCCCGCACCGGGACAACCGCGGGAAACCGCGGCUGAUACCGGGUACUCCGGGGCCCCCGCAUGGGGGCCCCGGGAAAGCUCCGGCGGCGGGGGAUGGGGUCGCGUCCCAUCAGGUAGUAGGCGGGGCAACGGCCCACCUAGCCGACGACGGGUAGCCGGGUUGAGAGACCGACCGGCCACAUUGGGACUGAGAUACGGCCCAGACUCC
This 314-nucleotide ribosomal RNA is filed under the name uncultured Coriobacteriaceae bacterium. RNAcentral's name for it is "bacterial SSU rRNA". It matches the Rfam family "Bacterial small subunit ribosomal RNA", at positions 26 to 339 of the family's 1533-position model. The record is from RNAcentral. Lineage: Bacteria; Bacillati; Actinomycetota; Coriobacteriia; Coriobacteriales; Coriobacteriaceae.